CGUGCAGGCGGUUUGGUUAAGUUGGAUGUGAAAGACUCCCGGCCUCAACUGGGAGGAGGUCGUUCAAUACUACCAGACUUGAGAGUGGUAGAGGGAGGUGGAAUUCCCGGUGUAGUGGUGAAAUGCGUAGAUAUCGGGAGGAACACCAGUGGCGAAAGCGGCCUCCUGGACCAUUUCUGACGCUCAGACGCGAAAGCUAGGGGAGCAAACGGGAUUAGAGACCCCGGUAGUCCUAGCUGUAAACGAUGUGAACUUGGCGUCGGUGGUGUAAAAACCAUCGGUGCCGCAGCCAACGCGAUAAGUUCACCGCCUGGGGACUACGGCCGCAAAGGUUAAA
This 337-nucleotide ribosomal RNA is filed under the name uncultured bacterium. RNAcentral describes it as "bacterial SSU rRNA". It matches the Rfam family "Bacterial small subunit ribosomal RNA", at positions 568 to 898 of the family's 1533-position model. The record is from RNAcentral.